This 1793-nucleotide long non-coding RNA is filed under the name Nicotiana tabacum (common tobacco). RNAcentral's name for it is "long non-coding RNA (NTAB_LNC001140)". The record is from RNAcentral. Lineage: Eukaryota; Viridiplantae; Streptophyta; Magnoliopsida; Solanales; Solanaceae.
CUGAACUCAUUCCAUUUGUAACUAUCAUGGGACAACAUGGCCACAACUCAUAAUGUAUAACUGUAAGUGGGUAACAUUGUAUCAAUAACCUACUGUUCUUAAGACGUGAAUACAUAUGGGCCGUCAAGGCCUCUGACAUGCUGUACAAACUGAACCUCUAUCUACAAAGCCUCUAAGAUUAUUUGACAUCAAAUGGGACAGGGUACCGGCCUACCCAUAAGUCUGAAGCAAAACUCUAAUAUGAUGACUCAUAAAUUCGGCUACACUCAAAAUGAGGUGGAGUCUUACCAAUCAUUCGUUGAAUGCUAACCUCGUCUACUAUGGGGGCUCAUCAAAUUAAUUACUUAUACCUGCAGGCAUGAAUGCACCGUCCAAAACAAAAGGACGUCAGUACAAAUAAUGUAUCAAGUAUGUAAGGCAUGUAAAUCAAUACAUAAAGAAGAUGAAAGAAACAUGGAUUACAUGACUCAACAUGUAAGUCUAGAUAACUCUGUAUAUCAUUUAAUACUUACAGUGUCAUAGCAUGAAUAUCAUAUCGUGCAUAGGUACAUGUGUUCAUAACAUCAUCAAGCCUAUGAGGGCAUCCCGUUAUAUCAUCUCAGCCAUUGUGGGCAAAACCAUCAUCGUAUACCAGCUGAUCAGGUGGUGGUGCGUAUAUAACGCCACAACCUUUCGCAUAUCCCAUAUACAUAUACAUAUAUAUAUACAUAUACAUAUACAUAUACACACACACACACACACGCAUGUAUAAAUGCAUGAAAUUGAAAUAUGUUAAUAAGAUUUUCUCGGAAUACCAUAAAACUCAAUAGUGAAAUUGAAAUUCCUCAUCUAAACAACUAAAUGAAACAGAGAUUUAACAAGAAAAUGAAGGUUGCUUAUAUAGCACCAAUAAAUAUUAUGAAUAGCAAGGGGUAUGCAAUUGUUCUCCUUUAUCUUCUUUGUCUUCUUAGUCUUUUAAGUUAUUGAGCAGGGAAGUAUAUUUUUAUCAUUUUCCUUUGUAGAAGAUCCCGAGUAUAUGAAUUGUACAUUGGAUAUACAAAUCAGAAAUGGGGAAAAUUGGUUAACGAAAUAGGUCUAUGCGGUUGAAUUAUUCUAUUUUAUCUCAUCUAGGAGUUUACAUGAUUAGAAACAAAAGGAUCUGUUACUGAAGUUGAUAUAAUAUUCUCUGCCAUAGUAAAUGCUUAAGUUAUACAAAGAUAAGAAUCUUUUUUUUUAAGCUUUCAUGAAGGAAAUUGUAAUUCUGGUCUAUACAUUAGCAACCAUUACAUGACACAAGAAUACACAGGGAGCAACAAAGUUAUAUCAUCCCACUGAGAGUAAAAUUAUUAUAUUCUCUUGUUUUACCUUCAACAUUAAAAGUAAUCUCCUUCAUUAACAUUAAAAGACAGGUAACGGAAGAGAAGAAGUAAAGCUUACGUACUUGCCCGUUUCGUUGUAUCAUAUGGUCCAUGCUAAAAGAAAAGAAGGGAUAAUCUUAACAUACUUGGAAUAGAAAUAAAUCCGUAUAAUAUUUUUGGAAUAGUGUUCUUGAGGAGUAUGGGAUGUGUUUGUGUUUCCCUCCGGAAGAAUCUUCAAUUCAGACCAUAUUGAUAUAAAAUGCACUAGUAUAAGUAUUUGAACCCAGAAUCACGUAUAGAGGAUUCCCCAAAUUCCGAUGUAUAUGUACGCCAGCACACAAGAUAUUUUGACUAAAAUAGCUUGAUUAAAAGUAGUAGUUAUGAGUACAAAUGGAGAUAUAAACAAGCUCAAGGAGGUCUUCUUUAACAGAAAAGAGAAAGCUCAAGUAAGACACA